AAUAAAAUUUAUAUUAUAAAAAUAAUAAAAAAAUAUAAUAAUACUUUGAUUAAAAAAAUAAGAAUGAUUAAUUGUUAAAAAAAUAAAAAAAUCCAAAUAGAAGAAACAGGGAUCCGAGCAGUAUCGGUUAAGUGGCUUGUGCUUCAGCCUUUAUCUUUUAACACUCCACAAUUCACUCAUCUCUCUCGGUCGAAAAGAGAAAGAAGUCAAUGAAAUAGGGACUUCAAAGCUUCCUCAAAAGGGCAA
This 246-nucleotide long non-coding RNA is filed under the name Elaeis guineensis (African oil palm). RNAcentral describes it as "long non-coding RNA (EGUI_LNC052347)". Lineage: Eukaryota; Viridiplantae; Streptophyta; Magnoliopsida; Arecales; Arecaceae. The record is from RNAcentral.